AGUGAACGCUGGCGGUAGGCCUAACACAUGCAAGUCGAACGGCAGCACAGUAAGAGCUUGCUCUUACGGGUGGCGAGUGGCGGACGGGUGAGGAAUACAUCGGAAUCUACUUUUUCGUGGGGGAUAACGUAGGGAAACUUACGCUAAUUCCGCAUACGACCUACGGGUGAAAGCAGGGGAUCUUCGGACCUUGCGCGAUUGAAUGAGCCGAUGUCGGAUUAGCUAGUUGGCGGGGUAAAGGCCCACCAAGGCGACGAUCCGUAGCUGGUCUGAGAGGAUGAUCAGCCACACUGGAACUGAGACACGGUCCAGACUCCUACGGGAGGCAGCAGUGGGGAAUAUUGGACAAUGGGCGCAAGCCUGAUCCAGCCAUACCGCGUGGGUGAAGAAGGCCUUCGGGUUGUAAAGCCCUUUUGUUGGGAAAGAAAAGCAGCAGGUUAAUACCCCGCUGUUCUGACGGUACCCAAAGUAUAAGCACCGGCUAACUUCGUG
RNAcentral lists this ribosomal RNA (492 nucleotides) under uncultured bacterium. RNAcentral's name for it is "partial 16S ribosomal RNA". It matches the Rfam family "Bacterial small subunit ribosomal RNA", at positions 29 to 507 of the family's 1533-position model. The record is from RNAcentral.